Molecule: ribosomal RNA, 489 nt
Filed under: uncultured bacterium
Lineage: Bacteria
Description: partial 16S ribosomal RNA
Rfam family: Bacterial small subunit ribosomal RNA
Source: RNAcentral
UUGAACGCUGGCGGCAGGCCUAACACAUGCCAGUCGAACGGUAACAGGAAGCAGCUUGCUGCUUUGCUGACGAGUGGCGGACGGGUGAGUAAUGUCUGGGAAACUGCCUGAUGGAGGGGGAUAACUACUGGAAACGGUAGCUAAUACCGCAUAACGUCGCAAGACCAAAGAGGGGGACCUUCGGGCCUCUUGCCAUCGGAUGUGCCCAGAUGGGAUUAGCUAGUAGGUGGGGUAACGGCUCACCUAGGCGACGAUCCCUAGCUGGUCUGAGAGGAUGACCAGCCACACUGGAACUGAGACACGGUCCAGACUCCUACGGGAGGCAGCAGUGGGGAAUAUUGCACAAUGGGCGCAAGCCUGAUGCAGCCAUGCCGCGUGUAUGAAGAAGGCCUUCGGGUUGUAAAGUACUUUCAGCGGGGAGGAAGGGAGUAAAGUUAAUACCUUUGCUUAUUGACGUUACCCGCAGAAGAAGCACCGGCUAACUCCGUG